ACCCUUCACAGGGCCUGGUUCACGGCAGUCAAUAGUCACUCCAUACAUUUUUGGCGACAGACUGAGUAUCUGGCUGUCUAACUAAGAUCAUCAAGGGCCUGGCGUAGGAGAGGCAAAUGAAUCGAAUGAAGAAAUAGCCCUGUAUCCAGCUACAGUGUUCCUUAGUGAUUGAUGGAGAGCGAAGUCUUUCUAAUGAGGUAGUCUUGGAUCCUGGAUUCACCAUUUGCAUCUUCAUAACCUGGGCGGAAGUGAUUCAACUUCUCUAAGGCGACUCCAUGUCGUCCACAGCAACUGCUAAGCCCAAAUCCAUACGACACCCCAGUGGUCAGCCAGAACCAGGACGACCGCCUGCAGGACCUUGUCACCGACCUCAGUUCUCUGGUCUCUUUAAACGAGAAAUCCCCAUUUAGGACCCUCAGAGCCGCAUCGAUGCUAAAAGCAUGUUUCCAGGACAUCUCCACGCUGUGUCAGUAGGAAAAUUCUCCAGAUUCACAACAUGUAACCAUACUCGCAACUUACUCUUAAACAUGAUUCUCAUCUAUAAAUGCUAAGCUGAAACUUA
This is a non-coding RNA of Equus caballus (horse), 562 nucleotides long. The record is from RefSeq and is a predicted model, not a curated record. Lineage: Eukaryota; Metazoa; Chordata; Mammalia; Perissodactyla; Equidae.